AACGAACGCUGGCGGCAUGCCUAACACAUGCAAGUCGAACGAGACCUUCGGGUCUAGUGGCGCACGGGUGCGUAACGCGUGGGAACCUGCCCUUAGGUUCGGAAUAACUCCCCGAAAGGGGUGCUAAUACCGGAUAAUGUCUUCGGACCAAAGAUUUAUCGCCUUUGGUUGGGCCCGCGUUGGAUUAGCUAGUUGGUAGGGUAAAAGCCUACCAAGGCGACGAUCCAUAGCUGGUCUGAGAGGAUGAUCAGCCACACUGGGAAUGAGACACGGCCCAGACUCCUACGGGGAGCAGCAGUGGGGAAUAUUGGACAAGGGGCGAAAGCCUGAUCCAGCAAUGCCGCGUGAGUGAUGAAGGCCUUAGGGUUGUAAAGCUCUUUUACCCGGGAUGAUAAUGACAGUACCGGGAGAAUAAGCUCCGGCUAACUCCGUG
Molecule: ribosomal RNA, 433 nt
Filed under: uncultured bacterium
Lineage: Bacteria
Description: partial 16S ribosomal RNA
Rfam family: Bacterial small subunit ribosomal RNA
Source: RNAcentral